Molecule: ribosomal RNA, 253 nt
Filed under: uncultured bacterium
Lineage: Bacteria
Description: partial 16S ribosomal RNA
Rfam family: Bacterial small subunit ribosomal RNA
Source: RNAcentral
UACAGAGGGUGCGAGCGUUAAUCGGAUAUACUGGGCGUAAGGCGCACGUAGGCGGCGCCGUAAGUCAGGGGUGAAAUCCCGGAGCUCAACUCCGGAACUGCCCUUGAAACUGCAGUGCUAGAAUCUUGGAGAGGCGAGUGGAAUUCCGAGUGUAGAGGUGAAAUUCGUAGAUAUUCGGAAGAACACCAGUGGCGAAGGCGACUCGCUGGACAAGUAUUGACGCUGAGGUGCGAAAGCGUGGGGAGCAAACAGG